CAGGCCUAACACAUGCAAGUCGAACGAAGGCUUCGGCCUUAGUGGCGCACGGGUGCGUAACGCGUGGGAAUCUGCCCUUAGGUUCGGAAUAACAGUUGGGAACGACUGCUAAUACCGGAUGAUGACGUAAGUCCAAAGAUUUAUCGCCUGAGGAUGAGCCCGCGUAGGAUUAGCUAGUUGGUGUGGUAAGAGCGCACCAAGGCGACGAUCCUUAGCUGGUCUGAGAGGAUGAUCAGCCACACUGGGACUGAGACACGGCCCAGACUCCUACGGGAGGCAGCAGUGGGGAAUAUUGGACAAUGGGCGAAAGCCUGAUCCAGCAAUGCCGCGUGAGUGAUGAAGGCCUUAGGGUUGUAAAGCUCUUUUACCCGGGAUGAUAAUGACAGUACCGGGAGAAUAAGCUCCGGCUAACUCCGUGCCA
This 421-nucleotide ribosomal RNA is filed under the name uncultured bacterium. RNAcentral describes it as "bacterial SSU rRNA". It matches the Rfam family "Bacterial small subunit ribosomal RNA", at positions 43 to 510 of the family's 1533-position model. The record is from RNAcentral.